RNAcentral lists this ribosomal RNA (273 nucleotides) under uncultured bacterium. RNAcentral's name for it is "partial 16S ribosomal RNA". It matches the Rfam family "Bacterial small subunit ribosomal RNA", at positions 524 to 796 of the family's 1533-position model. The record is from RNAcentral.
UACAGAGGUCCCGAGCGUUGUUCGGAUUCACUGGGCGUAAAGGGUGCGUAGGUGGCUUUGCAAGUCUGAUGUGAAAUCUCCGGGCUCAACCCGGAAAAGGCAUUAGAAACUGUGAGGCUGGAGGCUUGGAGGGGGAACUGGAAUUCUCGGUGUAGCAGUGAAAUGCGUAGAGAUCGAGAGGAACACCAGUGGCGAAGGCGAGUUCCUGGACAAGACCUGACACUGAGGCACGAAAGCCGGGGGAGCAAACAGGAUUAGAAACCCAUGUAGUCC